Procambarus clarkii (red swamp crayfish) is the source of this 361-nucleotide non-coding RNA. The record is from RefSeq and is a predicted model, not a curated record. NCBI's taxonomy places the organism in Eukaryota, Metazoa, Arthropoda, Malacostraca, Decapoda, Cambaridae.
GGUGGAGCUGCUCCCGCCCCUCAUAUACGUCGUCGUCCACAAUGAUUACCAUACACGGCCGCUCCAGCUCCCCUGUCGCGGCGGAGGGAGGAGAAGUUGGGGGCUCCACGUACUUCAGCCAAUCAAAAUGCUGCCUUUGAGAAUCGAGCCAACCCAUCCUCAAACCAAGCAACGACAGUGCUGUCGACUGGUGGAUGAACGAUCAUUAGACCACCAGGACGAGUUGGAGGGCCACGCUACACACCCUCAGGGCGGUGUUACCUGGCUGGAAGUGGACUGACGAGGCUUCAGCGUCGGGCCGCUCGUCGAAGUCCUCGGUGACGCGCGCGGUGCCCUGCCUCGUGAAGCACCUGCCUCACCC